RNAcentral lists this ribosomal RNA (495 nucleotides) under uncultured bacterium. Its description in RNAcentral is "partial 16S ribosomal RNA". It matches the Rfam family "Bacterial small subunit ribosomal RNA", at positions 28 to 507 of the family's 1533-position model. The record is from RNAcentral.
GACGAACGCUGGCGGCGUGCCUAAUACAUGCAAGUCGAACGCUGAAGGAGGAUCUUGCUUCUCUGGAUGAGUUGCGAACGGGUGAGUAACGCGUAGGUAACCUGCCUGGUAGCGGGGGAUAACUAUUGGAAACGAUAGCUAAUACCGCAUAACAGUAGAUAUCGCAUGAUAUCUACUUGAAAGGUGCAAUUGCAUCACUACCAGAUGGACCUGCGUUGUAUUAGCUAGUUGGUGAGGUAACGGCUCACCAAGGCGACGAUACAUAGCCGACCUGAGAGGGUGAUCGGCCACACUGGGACUGAGACACGGCCCAGACUCCUACGGGAGGCAGCAGUAGGGAAUCUUCGGCAAUGGACGGAAGUCUGACCGAGCAACGCCGCGUGAGUGAAGAAGGUUUUCGGAUCGUAAAGCUCGGUUGUAAGAGAAGAACGAGUGUGAGAGUGGAAAGUUCACACUGUGACGGUAUCUUACCAGAAAGGGACGGCUAACUACGUG